AAUGUAAAUUUUGUUAGAAAAUUUGCCAUCUCAAAUGUUGUAGAUGUAGUUCAUAUGAGCAUGAAUAUUGGACCUAAAAUUUGGUGCCAUGAUUUUGGGAAAAUUCGGCCAAAUACAAAGGGUGAUUUUUUGGGUUCUUGUUUGACUUGUUAAAAGUGUUUUAAAGUGUUUUAUGGAACCCCUAUGUACCCUAGUUUGGUUAUAUGUUAUUUCCCUAAAGUUUGAAAGGUGAUAGAAAUUGUGAUGGGUGUGUAAGACUUACACACCUUACACACCUUACACACCACAUGCAUGGUUUUAUGAUUCACAACAACCAAAUUCCACUUGCAAGGCUUUAUAACUUAGUUGAAAAAAUUUCCUAAUUUUGUGGCUUCAAUUUUUUCCCUCCCUCUCUCCUAAAACCGGCCCUCCCUCAAGUGGGAGUACUUUUGGGGCUUUUAUGCAAUUACAUAAAGUUUUGAUACUUUUGU
RNAcentral lists this long non-coding RNA (470 nucleotides) under Malus domestica (apple). Its description in RNAcentral is "long non-coding RNA (MDOM_LNC018714)". Lineage: Eukaryota; Viridiplantae; Streptophyta; Magnoliopsida; Rosales; Rosaceae. The record is from RNAcentral.